RNAcentral lists this non-coding RNA (2322 nucleotides) under Mini mum. RNAcentral describes it as "partial contains 12S ribosomal RNA, tRNA-Val, and 16S ribosomal RNA". The stretch from base 1 to 901 matches the Rfam family "Bacterial small subunit ribosomal RNA". Lineage: Eukaryota; Metazoa; Chordata; Amphibia; Anura; Microhylidae. The record is from RNAcentral.
GUUUGGUCCUAGCCUUAACCUCAACUAUUGCUUGACUUACACAUGCAAGUAUCUGCACACCCGUGAAAACGCCCCCACCCCUCUGACAGAACGGGGAGCCGGUAUCAGGCACAAACUAUUUUGCCCAUAACACCUAGCCACGCCACACCCUCAAGGGUACUCAGCAGUGAUAAAUAUUGCUCAUUAGCGCCAGCUUGACUCAGUCAAAACAUACAGAGCCGGCCAAUACGGUGCCAGCCGCCGCGGCUACCCCGCUUGGCUCAAGUUGACAUUAUCGGCGUUAAGCGUGAUUAAAGUAACCCUCAUAUUAGAAUUAAACCCGAACCAAGUUGUGACACACUUGUUUUAAGAAACCCUAAAACGAAAGUUAUUCUAACCUUACUUGAACCCACGACAGCUGGGGCACAAACUGGGAUCAGGUACCCCACUAUGCCCAGCCGUAAAAUAUAAACUUACACACACCACCGCCAGGGAAUUACGAGCCCAACCUUAAAACCCAAAGGACUUGACGGUGUCCCACCCACCUAGAGGAGCCUGUUCUAUAAUCGACACUCCCCGAUUUACCUUACCCCUUCUAGCACACUCAGUUUGUAUACCUCCGUCGCAAGCUUACCCUGUGAAUGAUUAGUGAGCUUAAAGGUAAAACACCAAUACGUCAGGUCAAGGUGCAACUAACGAAGCGGAAAGCAAUGGGCUACAAUUUCUACCAUAGAACACACGAAAAACUGCAUGCAACACAGUCAUGAAGGUGGAUUUAGCAGUAAAAAGAAAACAGAAAGUUCUCUUUAAUCAGGCGCUGGGACGCGUACACACCGCCCGUCACCCUCUUCAAGUUCCAACAAGACGAGGCAAGUCGUAACAUGGUAAGCGUACUGGAAAGUGCGCUUGGCUCAACAAAAUGUAGCUUAGUAAAAGCACCCCGCUUACACCGAGACGACGUCCACAAAUAGACCAUUUUGAGCCUAACACUAGCCCAACAUUUAACACACCUCCCCCCUCCCCCCAAAAAACAUUCUCACUAUCCAGUAAAGGCGAUUAAAAAAUGAUUUGGAGCUACAAAAAUAGUACCGCAAGGGAAUUAUGAAAUAAAGUGAAAAAUCCAAAGCACACUACAGUAAAGUUCUCACCUUGUACCUUUUGCAUCAUGAUCUAGCCAGUUCAACCAAGCAAAACGCAUUUAAAGUUUGACCCCCCGAAACUAGGCGAGCUACUUUAAAACAACCUACCAGGGCCAAUCCAUCUCUGUAGCAAAAGAGUGGAAAGAUUUUUAAGUAGAGGCGACACACCUACCGAGCCUAGAGAUAGCUGGUUAUUCAGGAAAAGGAUUUUAGUCCAACUUUAAGCUUCUUCAAUAACCCUAAAUACCUAACAAGCUUAAAAACCAUUCAACUGGGGUACAGCCCACUUGAAAAAGGAAACAGCCUACAACACCGGGUAAUGAUUUAUCCAAUCGUGGCCGAGUAAGCCUAAAAGCAGCUAUCUCCUAAAAAGCGUCCAAGCUUUACCACUAACUAUUUAAAUCCCAAUACUUACCCAUAACCCACAAUUACUACUGAAUGAUCCCAUACCCAUAUGGGAGACAUAAUGCUAGAACUAGUAACAAGAAGAAGAACUUCUCCAAAAAUGUAAGCAUAAGCCAAAAUGAACAACUCACCGGCACCUACCGCCACAAGCCUGCAGUAUUACCUUUCCCCACACGAAAACCCUACUACACUUGACGUUAACCUUACACUAGAACAUUACUGGAAAGAUAAAAGGAAGGGGAAGGAACUCGGCAAAAACUAGCCCCGCCUGUUUACCAAAAACAUCGCCUCUUGACUAACUAUAAGAGGUCCAGCCUGCCCAGUGACUAAAAGUUAAACGGCCGCGGUACCCUAACCGUGCAAAGGUAGCACAAUCACUUGUUCUUUAAAUCAGGACUAGUAUGAAUGGCCUCACGAGAGCUAUACUGUCUCCCCCCUCUAAUCAGUGAACCUAAUCUCCCCGUGAAGAAGCGGGGAUACUAAUAUAAGACGAGAAGACCCCAUGGAGCUUAAAACUUGUAUCACUGCCAAAUCACACCAAUCAAUCACGGCAAUAUGACUACUAGUCUUUCGGCUGGGGCGACCACGGAGAAAAACUUAACCUCCAUGACGAAUAUGUCAAAGAACUACCACUCUAAGAAUCAAUAAAUUGACACAUUGACCCAAAUACUGACCAACGGACCAAGUUACCCUGGGGAUAACAGCGCAAUCCAUUUCAAGAGACCCCAUCGACAAAUGGGCUUACGACCUCGAUGUUGGAUCAGGGUAUCCAAGUGGUGCAGCCGCUACUAAAGGUUCG